ACUAAUAAACACUCCCAAACCAAUAACAACAAGAGCACAAUCACAGAUCCAGACUAUUCAGUUGCUUUAAGAAAAUUAUCCUGUGAUCAGUGAACGAACAGAGAACACAAAAAGGAUCCAUCUUUAUUUAGGAACAAGAAAUUAUAAUAAGAACACACAAAAGUCAAGCUCUACAGAGGAAUAUUCUAGCAAAAAGGUAAAACCACAUGACUUUUUUCUAAGAAUCUGUAGCUGAAUAUUCAGAUACGGAAUAUAGUCAAACUUCAAACUAUAAAAACAGAUUAAUUUAAUGGAGAGUGUGGUUUAUUGACUAACCAUCCUUCUAGAAACCCAGGACUGUUCUGUUGUUGCUGAUGCUGCGGCGGCGGAGGAUAUUGCGGCGCGUACGGAGGAGGAUAACCUUGUUGAGGAUAUCCCUGAGGUGGAUAGCCUUGCUGAGGAUAUCCCUGAGGAGGAUAUCCUUGUGGUGGAUAAGCAUCUUUUGGAUAUCCCUCCGGUGGAUAACCUAUUGAUACAAAUCAGCACCAAAAAAAAAAAUCAGAUCCAUCGUAGAAAACCAAAAAUUAAGCAGAUCUAAGAAAAUUACAAUUCUAGCAACCGAAACUUC
RNAcentral lists this long non-coding RNA (607 nucleotides) under Arabidopsis lyrata. RNAcentral's name for it is "long non-coding RNA (ALYR_LNC002164)". The record is from RNAcentral. Lineage: Eukaryota; Viridiplantae; Streptophyta; Magnoliopsida; Brassicales; Brassicaceae.